GUGGGUGUAGCUCAACUGGUUAGAGUACUGGGUUGUGGUCCCAGGGGUUGGGAGUUCAAGUCUCCUCACUCACCCCA
This 77-nucleotide transfer RNA is filed under the name Synergistales bacterium. Its description in RNAcentral is "tRNA-His". It matches the Rfam family "tRNA". Rfam says of the family: Transfer RNA (tRNA) molecules are approximately 80 nucleotides in length. Their secondary structure includes four short double-helical elements and three loops (D, anti-codon, and T loops). The record is from RNAcentral. Lineage: Bacteria; Thermotogati; Synergistota; Synergistia; Synergistales.